Molecule: long non-coding RNA, 1500 nt
Organism: Mauremys mutica (yellowpond turtle)
Lineage: Eukaryota; Metazoa; Chordata; Testudines; Geoemydidae
Exons: 3
Source: RefSeq, a predicted model, not a curated record
CACAGGGAACAGAAAGGUGAUAAGAACACCACUAUCUCAAGGACAUCUCAGGAAAGAGCAAUUAGUGAGCUAUGUAUUUUGGACCUGUUCUCAGUUUGUUGUUCCUGGUGGCCUGUGAGACUACCCAAUCCAGAACUUUGUGAAGAUGAUUUUGAUGUGUCUUGGCUGAAACUGCAUGAGCUUCGCUACUAAAAUCAUCCUUUAUCACUGCAGGGUGGCUGACUCUUUCAAAGGGAGGUACAUCUCAGCCCAACUGUGAUGCAGCUGAUUUGCCUCUCCAGAUGGAAAAAAAGGAAUUAAGUUACAAUCAUGUGACUAAACCAGGUCUUUGGAGGUCUAGGAAAACAAAGACAAAAAGGAUUCACAUUGUGAAGCUGCAGAAAGAGAGAAAGAGAGUGUCUGUCUCCUACAUUGGCCCCUGAGGAAGAGAGCCAUGGCUGGGUAGAAACCUCUGACUGGAAGUUUGUGUUUUCUUUUUGGGGAGAAGACAAAGAAGGUAGGCUAGGCUAGGCAUUGCCUCUUCUCCAGUGACUCUCAGAGCUGUAAGAGAGAAUCUCUCAGAAGAGGGGGUGUGCCCAGAUUAAAAACUGUGGUAGAAGACUGUGGUAUUUAUUUUGGAAUUUUAUGUUAAUGAACCAGACCCUAAGGAGGGCUGUUUGUUGUUGGACUUAUGAAAGCCAUUAGUGUGUGGAGUUCUUUGAGACGCUUGAAAGAGGAGAAAUGGAGGCAAGGUGAUGCGGAGCCACCCUGCGGCCAUGAGGUGCUGCCUGGGAGGCAGCUAAUCCGGUUAAAAAACCCAGCCAUGUAAGAAAAUAAUCAACUGAGCAUGUAAUCUAAUACAAAAGCAUAUAAACACACACUCUUCCAAGAUCUGAACUACUCCUUGCCUCUCAGUCAUCCAAAUGAUGGAGAAGAUAGACGGAACUUACCACUUGUCUUAUUUUCAGGCAACUUUUGGCUUGUCUGGACUAGUUUAGACAAUGAUUGACUUCCCAAGUUAAAGGGCCUUCUUGCAAAAUGCCUUGGCAGAAUCUUCCCACCCUUUUCAAUCACGGAAGCUCCAGUAUGAGUGCUGACCAAAACUCCACUUCUAGUCCUUGGGGGGUGGGGUCGGGUAGCAGGUGAUGUUGGGGGGGAGCAAUUAGGUAUGUCACAAGAGUUGUCAUUUUAACCUUCCAAACCAUUAAGCUUCAGACAGCCUGGGUUUCUUUUUAAAUCUACCUCAGAAAUGUCUUCCCCCCCCCCCGCUUUCCACCAAAAGCAUGGAAUUCCCCUCUGUGUGCGCACACAAUAAUUACACUACCCUGGAGCUCAGUAUGAUCAGAAUUUAGUUCUAUGUAAGUGACAGGUUAAAUGUAUGAUAUUCCAUGACAAGACAGCUAGAAACAGGAGCCUCAGUACCGCUGGAAAUGAAAGUUUUCCAUCUCCCCAAUGGUGUUGACACACAGCACUUGCUUCUAACCCAGGGACAAAGUGAGAUCAUGGUAUUAUGUAGAGAAA